CACCNGUGGCGAAAGCGGCUCUCUGGUCUGUCACUGACGCUGAGGCUCGAAAGCGUGGGUAGCGAACAGGAUUAGAUACCCUGGUAGUCCACGCCGUAAACGAUGAGUGCUAGGUGUUAGGCCCUUUCCGGGGCUUAGUGCCGGAGCUAACGCAAUAAGCACUCCGCCUGGGGAGUACGACCGCAAGGUUGAAACUCAAAGGAAUUGACGGGGGCCCGCACAAGCGGUGGAGCAUGUGGUUUAAUUCGAAGCAACGCGAAGAACCUUACCAGGUCUUAACAUCCCGAUGCUAUUCUUAGAGAUAGGAAGUUACUUCGGUACAUCGGAGACAGGUGGUGCAUGGUUGUCGUCAGCUCGUGUCGUGAGAUGUUGGGUUAAGUCCCGCAACGAGCGCAACCCUUAUUGUUAGUUGCCAUCAUUAAGUUGGGCACUCUAGCGAGACUGCCGGUAAUAAACCGGAGGAAGGUGGGGAUGACGUCAAAUCAUCAUGCCCCUUAUGACCUGGGCUACACACGUGCUACAAUGGUCGGUACAACGAGUUGCGAGCCGGUGACGGCAAGCUAAUCUCUGAAAGCCGAUCUCAGUUCGGAUUGGAGGCUGCAACUCGCCUCCAUGAAGUCGGAAUCGCUAGUAAUCGCGGAUCAGCACGCCGCGGUGAAUACGUUCCCGGGCCUUGUACACACCGCCCGUCACACCACGAGAGUUUGUAACACCCGAAGUCGGUGAGGUAACCUUUUAGGGGCCAGCCGC
RNAcentral lists this ribosomal RNA (750 nucleotides) under uncultured bacterium. Its description in RNAcentral is "bacterial SSU rRNA". It matches the Rfam family "Bacterial small subunit ribosomal RNA", at positions 707 to 1456 of the family's 1533-position model. The record is from RNAcentral.